GACGAACGCUGGCGGCGUGCUUAACACAUGCAAGUCGAACGGAAAGGCCCUGCUUUUGUGGGUUGCUCGAUUGGCGAACGGGUGAGUAACACGUGAGUAACCUGCCCUUGACUUUGGGAUAACUUCAGGAAACUGGGGCUAAUAACGGAUAGGAGCUCCUGCUGCAUGGUGGGGGUUGGAAAGUUUCGGCUGUUGGGGAUGGACUCGCGGCUUAUCAGCUUGUUGGUGAGGUAGUGGCUUACCAAGGCUUUGACGGGUAGCCGGCCUGAGAGGGUGACCGGCCACAGUGGGACUGAGAUACGGGCCAGACUGCUACGGGAGGCAGCAGUGGGGAAUAUUGCACAAUGGGCGGAAGUCUGAUGCAGAAACGCCGCGUGCGGGAUGACGGCCUUCGGGUUGUAAACCGAUUUCGACUGUGACGAAGCGUGAGUGACGGUAAUGGGUAAAGAAGCACCGGCUAACUACGUG
This 468-nucleotide ribosomal RNA is filed under the name uncultured bacterium. Its description in RNAcentral is "partial 16S ribosomal RNA". It matches the Rfam family "Bacterial small subunit ribosomal RNA", at positions 28 to 507 of the family's 1533-position model. The record is from RNAcentral.